UUUGGCAUGUGGUCGAAAUUUGCUUACGAGGAGGAUGACAACUUACAAAUGCUCGAGCUAGUAAUUAAAUAUUAUUACCCUUUUGGUUUCGAAAUGUUUGAGGUAAAGUUCCUUGAAAAAAAUAUAUCUGAGGUAGUGAUAGCUCAUCAUGAUUAUUUGGCCCAAGUACUAGUUAGUCCUAAUAAAGAAUUUCGGACUUAUUAAAUCAUUCUUGGCGGUAAUAAGUUUUCCCCUCCACACACGAGCCAAACGACAACUAAAAACGAGCAAAAGACACACUACACCUCCAACACGUUUGCCUCCAAAUUACAACAUGUCAUACGUUUGACAUGAGAACCCCUUACACUCUACGUUAUACUCCCUCCGUUUCAAAGUAUAGAUCGUUUUAGUUUUUUAUUCAUAAAUAUUAUUAUACAUAUAGAUAUAGUGUACGUCUAGGUACAUAAUAAUAUCUAUGAACUUAGAAAAGUCAAAACCAUCUAUAAUUUAGAACAGAUGAAGUACCAUCUUAUCGAUCUUUUGUCUAAUUUCUAUUAUCCCCUCGCACCUCGCUUAACUCCUUUCGUGCAUCUCAUGGUAUAGACAGCUGAGUGCAUCUCGUGAUCUUGGUCAUUAUAAAAUUUCGAAAAAACUUAAGUAGUCCCUAGUACUCCCCAUAUUUUUUUUAUAAACAUCUAAGUACUCCCGAUGCCAGUCCCAAAUUAAGCGUUGCGUUGUAGAUGUGCGGAUCGUGUUUUAAGCAAACGCAGAUCAGUUCGCGUGUUGUGACCAACCUAGACAGCUGAGUGCACAAAUAACACAGGCGCCGCACAACUUUAGAGGAGUUGACCCAGCCUAGCAACCUACGCUGUCCAUUCAUGUCUCUCUGAACUCGACCGUCUCAAGUUGGAGCACACCACUGACUCCUCUACCCGUCUCGUGCAGCUGCCGCGCCGCUCAGCUCAGGCAGCCUGCGCGCGUCGGCGCCGGUCAAAUCAGCGGGCCGCCGCCUGCGAGCCGCAACGGCCGUCUCCUGCCGCCCUGCAACGCCGCUGCGCCGCCGCCGGCGUCAGGACUCUGCCGCCGUGCCGCGGCAAUCCGGCAAGGGCUUUUUUUUUCUAGCACAGUCCGGCAAAGGCUGACACGCGCCACCUUUGCGUUCUCCAAAAGCGUCAGGGGCUCAGGAGGGCCCAGCAACAGCCUGGCAGCCAGAAGCAGCAGCAGCGAGCGACGCAGAAUCUUGGCCUGCUAGGGUUACGAUGUGGGCUAUAGAAGAAUUCUCGGCCCAAUCUCUAGAUGGGCUUCUCGCGACCUGCCGGCGCCGGCCCAACCCAUCGACAAAACAGGACGAGCCGCCGACGCGGAUAGGAAAUCUCUCGGAGGAAGAAGACGGCAGCAGAAGGGACGAAACUCCGAAGCGGCCGGUCGCCGCUCCCCCGAGUCCGCGACCGCGACCCGCGAGGAGGGCGAGCCCGCCGAGGCGGAAGGUGCCUCGAGAUCUCCUCCCCGCGGCUCGCGGGUCAGAAGCAGCAGCAAGUCGCAUUUCUAAAUUCAUCGUCGUUUCGUCCCCACCCCAUCCCUGCCAUCUGCCUUCCAAAAUCCGCACACCCCCUCCUCCCCCCGCGCGCCCAGUUAAACCCGUCCGCGGCCGCGAGUUUGACUCGUGAUCGCGUCCAGAUCCGGCUUCCUCCCCCUCCGACGACUCCCGCGCACAAAACAAUUCCGAGCGAGGCGGAGACCCCCGUGAUAAAUCACCGCGCACCACCCGUGGCUUCCCACCACACCACCGAAUUAUCCGCAGUGCGGGGCCGGAGGAAGCUUCUGAAGGUGAGAGUUUUUUUUUUUCCUCUUCUGCUUUCCCGGGGUUUUCCGGCCCCGUUUCUGCUUCAGGGCGGGGUAGGCAUCACAAGAAUUCGAUCUUUGGGCGUCGCCCUCGGCGCUUGAUGCCCACUUGGGAGGUUUCUUGCGACGCCUCCCUCCUUGGGUGUUAAAUGGGUAGAUGGGGUGCCAAUGAAUAAAAUGUCUUGCGGAGGCUGCGCACGAAACUGCCACUGUGCGAAGCGGUCGUCGUUGGUCCUGACGGGAUGCUCUCACCUAACAUUUGAUUGAUUGAUGUUUUUAUUUUCUUCUGUCCAUGGCGGCGUUUAGUUCGUGCAGUGACUUCUUGCGCUAGCAUACGACGCAUGCUUCGGCGACUAUAACUAAUUCCAUUAUUUUUCAUGUUUCUUUAAAACAGAAUCAGAAACUCUUCAUGUGACUGAUCGGUUGGUUGCGCCGGCUUGUGAGGCUCCAGCAGCAAGUUCAGGGAGCACUUCGUGUGCUUGCAGCCACUUGUAGAUUCCUCAUCAAGGUGCUGGUGCUAUCACGUUGUGGUAGUUGAGAAGGAUCUGUCUAACUUCCACAGCUGCGAGGAAAGCUUGCUGAGGUAUGCUGUACUUGUUUUCUUUAUUAUCACAAACUAGCACAUCCCAUUAUUAGGACCUCGUCUAAGUUGUCCUCCUUGACUUGGACCAAGUGCUUAGGUGGUACAAUACGUGCUGUUGAUAUUUCUACAUGUCCUGUCAUGCUAGCAACCUAACAUGCUUGCGACGUGCCCCAAGCCUGUUUGACUUCCAUGGCUGUCAUGGACAAACGCAUUAUGCCCCCCACGAGCUUAUUUGAUUGUGCUAGCUGCUAGGUGGUUGUUGCAUACUGGUCUUCCCUCUUCUCUUGCCACCUCGGGCUGCCUCAACUGGCUUAAAAAGAUACAUGCUUCAUACCUAGAUCAUUUGGAGUUGGAGUUGAAUUUUGGUUAUAAGCCAUGGCAAAUUCCCGGGCUGGACGUUACAAGGUAUUUGUUGACCUUUGCUUGGAUUCUUUACUUCUUUAUCUGGCAUACUUUGGUCGUGUUUUGAUGCUGUUAUGAAGUGUUUCUGAUCCUGCUGCCUCAUCUUUUGCCUUUGAUUUUGUUGUGCGACUUCUUUUAAGUACUUGUUAUCUGCCUUUUGCUUUUGCCUUUUGGUGUCUGCUUCAUCUUGUUUUGUUUUUGUUUGACCUUCCUGUAUCUUUACCUUGCUUGCUGGUUCUGUAUCACAAAUAUGAUUUGGGUAACAUGUUUGCCACAGAAGAAAAAUAGGAUGGCCUGACACAUAAAGCAGACUUUUACUUUCUCUCUGUGAAAUUUUUCAAUAUUCAGUAUUUAUCAGCAUCAGUUGAUAAAAACUAUUUCUUUUGUUCAGUAAAUUAGCAUUUACAGCUAUAACCUUCUUGAUGUGCCUUAGAUUUGUUUUUUUUAUUUGGCAUAUAUGUGUUGGAAGUUGAUCCUUGAAAGUCCUUCCAUACCAAUCCUAGCUGGGAGUGCAGGAAAAUGUGGUUUGAUCUUUAACAUGUGAUGUUGAUGAUCUCUUUAUCACACAAGUUACUGAAUAGUGCAACUAAAUCUGGUAAACACAAAUAUACUUGUGCGCAGUGUUGUUAGUCCCAAUUGUUACUGUAUGAAACUUGAUUGGAAGGUGCUGAUCUCUGGGGGUAGGGCCAAAUUUGUGGAGUUAUGAGAUGUCAAGGCUUUGUAUAGGUGCAUAGUUUUUAGGUAUUGUUCUGGAUUGUCAAUUGCUACAUUAGUAUAAUGUCAGAUUUCCAUAGAUUUUGUUUUAAGAUCAAAUCGGUAUCCAUCAAAUGUGAAAAUAUAGGCAUCAUCAUUGCAAUAUAGGAAUGACAAGGUUGAUUAAUUACCUGGGUUUGCAAACAGUUUAAUUUUAAGGGUGAAGCUGAUUUUAAAGGUGUGGAAACCUAUUUAGAGGACAGGAAUUUCUGACCCUUUCUUUUCAAUCUUGUUCUUUUAUGGUGUGAAACCAACAUAUAGUGAUUGCUUUAUCUUAUGAUACAAUUGCGUAUCCUAAUGCAAUGUAACAUGUGAGAGAGUUCACUGGCCAGUAUGCAUGCAUAUCACUAUCAUGGUUUUUAAAUGCUGUUGACCUAGCCAUUCCCUUUGCCAUGGUUGCAGCUUUGUGAUCUAGAAGGAGUUAACUCCUACAUACUCAAGCAAUGUGAUGAAAAAAUUUCUCUUGUGUAGCAUUCGAAAUCAAAUGCAGUAGAAGAAUUCAGUGUGUCAUAACUAGUGAACUGGGAGUUGUACUUGUAAUGGUCAAUAGUAGUUUCUUUUUCUUGUAUCAUGUAGUAGGAUACAAACUGAUGAUGCGGCGUGGAAACUGAACUGUGCCCUCUUAUGCUUUUGCACUUCACCAAAUUCUUCUAAGAUGGUUGCAUACUUUCUUUACAUUAAGGAAACCUAACCUAUGCUUAAGAUCUUAACUAUCUGAUGCAUUAACUUCAGUGUCCUCAUGCAUUUCUUUGAAACUUUAGUAAUUGUAGUAGUUUGCAUGUUGCAGAUGUCUAAUCUCUCAGACCCCUCCAAAGAAGAUGCUUCAUCAGAGGGUUCAGGUACUAUCCAGAAAAAUGGAGCCUGGAGUAACGCAUUGAACACUCUUCUGCAGCAAGCCUCAGUCUAUGGUGUUGCUGCUGGGUAUUGUCUAUCAGCAUCUCUGCUUUCCAUCAUCAACAAAUGGGCAGUCAUGAAAUUUCCGUAUCCUGGAGCCCUGACAGCUCUGCAGUACUUCACUAGUGUUGCUGGAGUUCUCCUCUGUGGACAGCUAAAGCUCAUUGAGCAUGAUGGCCUCAAUUUGAGGACUAUGUGGAAGUUUUUACCUGCUGCUGUGAUGUUCUAUAUCUCCAUCUUCACAAACAGUGAACUCCUGCUGCAUGCCAACGUGGACACUUUCAUUGUGUUCCGCUCUGCUGUGCCAAUAUUUGUUGCCAUCGGAGAGACGCUGUAUCUUCACCAGCCAUGGCCAUCGCUGAAGACAUGGCUUUCACUUUCCACUAUACUUGGUGGAAGUGUGAUCUAUGUUUUCACAGACAAUCAAUUCACUGUGACUGCUUACACCUGGGCGGUGGCCUACCUAGUAAGCAUGUCCAUUGAUUUUGUGUACAUCAAGCACGUUGUCAUGACCAUUGGGCUGAACACAUGGGGCCUUGUGCUAUACAACAACCUUGAAGCUUUGAUGCUGUUCCCCCUUGAGCUCCUUAUAAUGGGAGAGUUUGAUCAGAUGAAGGUUGACAGCUCCAAAGUGUCAAAUUGGCUUUCAUUUGAUGUGGUCCUCCCUGUUGCUCUCUCAUGCCUAUUUGGGCUGUCGAUAUCCUUCUUUGGGUUCUCUUGCAGACGGGCUAUCUCUGCUACUGGGUUCACAGUAUUGGGCAUAGUGAACAAACUCCUGACCGUGGUGAUUAAUCUGCUUAUCUGGGACAAGCAUGCCUCCUUUGUGGGUACCAUUGGGCUCCUUAUAUGCAUGUCAGGUGGUGUACUCUACCAGCAAUCCACCACAAAACCAAAAGCACCAAAGGUUGAGCCAAAGGAAGAGAAUGAUGAGGAGCAGCAGAAAUUGCUGCAGAUGCAGGGAGUGCAAGAGAGCAGUUCAACUCAAAAGUAAAGUUCUUCAUAAACCUUAAAAGAAGUUCACCAUUGAUGCGGUACCUCCUUUGCAACAGCCUCGCCUGAACACUUGGGCACUGGUUGAUGCUUGGAAACAAACACAUGGGUGGAUCAUGGAUGGUAGUCCUGGACUAGGUGUUGCAAAAUCUCGAAAAGUUUUAGAUAUUAGAUGCCAUGGAGGGGACCUAGCUAAGAAUCAUCAUGCAAUUCUUUGUUACUGCAUUACCGUUUUCAUUUGUUACACAAGAUUUUUAUGGUAGUAGGGUACGAUGGACUUGUCAAAUGUACCUACCUACCUGCACUGAAUACGUCGUAAAUGAAAGCAUCUAUCUCAUCAAGUCUGUGCUUAUUUAUUUCUCUGCUGAAGUUUGCCAAUUUAUUCUGUAAUGGUGAUGGAACCAUCCGUUUCCCUCUUAUGCUGAAAGAAAAUCUUUCAUGUGCCCAGUGCAUGAACUGUAUCAUACUAGAAGUCUGAAGCAGAUGCUAUUCAAGUGAACUUCGCAUGCCGAAAGUCUGAAAGCGAUGCAGUUCAAGUAGCUUUGCUUGGUCACUGGCGCAAUGCAUUCAAAGAGCAUCAACUACGACAUUAAAAUGAGUCUAGUUUGUUUUUUUUCAAGUGUAUUAGUUGGUUGCGUGAAAUAUUUAAUGCAGUCAAAGUACUAGGAUUUAUAGUUGUAGUCAAGGAAAUAUAAUGACAUCUAAUAAGGUACAGAGGAAAUAUCUCUGCGUCAAGGAAUAUUCAGGUUGUUUAUCUUUGCACAUAUGGUGUUGAUAGCUUCUGGUCAUCGGGAAAAUACGACUUCCUUGCAUCCUUUUAAUUUUCUCUUUUGAAGGGACCAACUCCUUGGUAUCUUGUAAGUUUUUUUUUUAAAAAGGUAUCUGGCCAUUUCUUUGUUGUGUCGCAUCAGGGGGAAUUCAGAGUCAGUACGCUUUUGUCUGAUGAUGAAGGAAGAAGAAAUGAAUAAUACUGCGUUGUUUCCCUUUUUUCUGCCAAAAAAAAGAGAAAAAAAGAUAAAACACAUCUUGUUUGCCCUUUAUUCCUUCCGGACGGGCGAAAGGAAAUCCUCGCCGUCCGAUCCAUUCGUCGCGGCCCAGAUUCCAUCAUCAUGCUGUUUCCAGUUUCCACCCGUCAUUCAUUCCGUUCUACCAAAAUCUAAACCCAAAGCCGGUCUCUCUCGCACGGACGCACGCACCCGUCCUUGCUCCCUCCCCCCGACCUUCCUCCUCGCCCAAUGGCGCACCGCGAAACCAAAAUCUCGCAAUCCGAACCAACCCCAGCGAUAUAGCGCCGCCGCCGCUCGAUCCCGCCUCGCCGUGCCGGCGCCCCUGGAGGAUCCCAGCCCGUCGCGAGCCGCGUGGGGUUCCGCUCCAAUCCGAAUCCGAACCUCCCGCAGGACGCCGCGGGUCUCGUCUCCGGCCUCGUAGGACUGUAGGAGGUAAUCGCGGAACACUUGUUCUCCUUGGUAGUUCUUCUUUUCGGUUCUGUUCCUCCGGUUGGUGUGAGCUCCGUCACGUUUGAUCUAGGGUUUGUAUUUUUUGGGGUGAUUUUACUGGGCUAAUCGCGUUAUCGAUUGUCUGCGUGGUUUCAUUUGGUUUCGAUUACGCACUAACUGUUGACCAGGUCUGAUGAGGAAUUUGAACUUUGCAGGAGGUCGCCCGAGGGUUGGUUUCCGAGCUAGAUAUGUACGGGCAGGGAGGGAGCUUUAAUCCACACUAUCGCCAUGGCGCGCCGCCGCCCCAGCACCAAUCUGGGGUAACUGGGUCCUUCCAUCAGCAGCCUAUCCCACCACCGCCAGCACCGUACCCACAGCACCCAGGAAUGCGGCCUCCGCCUGGCCCGUACCAGCACGGCGUGCCGCCACCUCAGAACCAGCCAUACCCUUUUGCCCAGCAGCAGAGAGGUUAUGCUCCGAUGCCGCUGCCGCCACAGCAGAGAGGCUAUGCACCGAUGCCAAUGCCAGGGCCGCCGCCACAACAACAAGCUACCUAUCAGGCCCCUCCACAGUAUCCCAUGCCAGGGUCCCUCCCUCCACCGCCGCCUCGGCCACCCAGCUUUGCUCCAGAGAAUGCACUGCCUCCAUCUGGCCCACCACCACCUCCUCCACCACCACCCCCAUCUCCUCCGCCUCCAUUGCUGUCUGCACCUCCCGCUCCUGUAGUUGCACAAUCAUGGGGUACAGAGGCAGGAGGAAAAGAAGAAUGUGGUGAUGGUGGUGGUGGUGGUGAUGCCAAAACUCUGAAAGCAGCUACUCAGCUAAUUGUGUCUGAUGACUCAGACAUGGAUAUGGAUGGUUAGUGCUCCAUUUCCCCUCCUCCAUCUCUGUUCAGUGACACUUACUCCGUUUGAAACUCACUUUACUCUUGUUGCUGCAUUUUGUGUUACAGCAAUAAAAGAUCAUAGUUUAUAUUGUUGAAAAAAACAUCUCUGUGCAUGAACAUCUUACCUGAUUUUGGAAUUCCAGAUUAAUUUUCACAUUGGUUUGUCUCUAGAGAUUUACUUUUAUCACGAAAAAUUUUAGGGGAUGAGGACUCUCCAUCAAGGCAACCUCUUACCCCAGAUAAUUCUUCCCUUGUGACUGCUGAAUGUACUGGAGAUGUUAAUGUGUCAAAGUCUGUCAGUGAUGUUUCAAGCCUGGGCAAGCAUUUGCCACCUGGCAGUGGUGAAAAUGCUAAAACUGCACAUGUAACUGUGGAUGGUGGGAGCCCAUUCAAACUAAUACAAGGUUAUGCCUCCGAUGACAGUGCAAAUGAGGUUGCUGCUGGUCCUGAUGGUGCCAGCACCCUCGUUGUAUUACCUGAAGAUAACAAGCUCAAUCAUCCAAUUGAUAGAAAUACUGAAAUUGGUUAUGACAAACAUCCUAAUGCAAAAAGAAAUGUGAAUUCCCCUCCUGGCACCGAGGAACAUGUUGAGGCUGGAAAGUAUCAUCUCAAGGAUGAAAGAAAUCCAGUGAAGCAUGGCACAGAUGUGCUCGGGCAUCUAGCCAAAGAAGAUUUAAGUGACAGUGAAUUUAAUGGAGGGCAAAUGAGUAAAAGGCAUGAGAGGAGACAAAAGAAACGAACCUGGAGCCAGUCGCCUCAGGAUAGAAGUCGUAGUCCACUGGGGUCAAACAAGGACAGUCCAUCCCAAAGGUACGGCACCUUGUACCUUGCCAUGAACUUCAAAUAGAUGCAUCAAUUCAUCUGCACUGCACUUCUGUUUCUUAGAUUUUUUUAUGACAUUCAAUUGCUGCUUUGGAAGUCUGACUACAUUUAAUUUCUUUCAGUUCCUCACCUGGAAAGCAAAGCAGGCCACCAUUUGCUAAGCGGAUUCAUCCUUCUGUAGAAGGUAAUUCAGGAGAUAGAAUUGCUCAGCAAAAGGGCCUGGUGCUGACAGAGAAAUUUGAUAGUUCUUCAAAUGAUUUAAUUGGCAAAGUGGGAGAUAAGGGCGCACCUGAUGGUGCCCUUGGAUACAAUUGUCAUGGUGACAAUUUAAUUUCUGAGCCUUCACAACCAGUGGCUGAAAUCCCUGUGGGCCAAUCUGCUGGAAGUGCCCCGUUUGCAUCAGUACAGACUACCAAGAACUCCGUGGCAUGUGAUCAUCUCCAGCCUCAUCCUCAGAGUUUGUACCCUCCUGAACACAUGCCAUCCUCGAAUAUGGUUCGGCUACCAGGACAGUCAUUAUUUGCAACUUCAGAAUUCCCUCAAACGCAGUUCCAGCAUAAUGUUAUUGCACCAGCCAAUGAAUUCAUGCAGAACCAGAUGAGAAGCUAUCCUCCACCAGAUCCGUCUCAUCCUAGACCAUUGGAUUUCCAUCAUCAUACGCGCCCGCCAGCAGUUCCUUCUCACCAGCAGCCUUCUGCCAUUUCUGUUGAAAAUGCUCCAGUACCUCCUCCAGACAGAUGGUCUGAGUAUUCUGGUGGUGUAGGUCUAUCUUAUUCAUCUCAUCAUCCGCCAUAUGGUCAGCACCAGCCUCCAGGGAAUCUGGAUUCAGGAACUAACUUGGUUUAUCCUUCUUUCCAGAGAUUUCCAUCAAAUCUACCUGGAAGUAGCGAUCUUGGUCCUUUAUCUGAUGUUGGUUUGCCUAAAUCAUCUAUCAAACCCCACUACAACCCAUUUGCAUCUACCUUUGAACAAACAGAUCCAAGUCUAGAUAUUGGUCCUGUUGUAAGCCCAAAUGCAGUUGACUCUAUUUCCACAAAAGCAGAACACAUGAAUGCCCUGUCUCCUUUUGGUCAAUCAUUUCCUGAAUCCAGAACACAUGCCCACGAAAGUUCUGCAGAAGCUGUGCCCAAUAAACAAAAGCCACUCCGUCAGGACUUUGCUUCCGGUGCUCCAUAUGAUCCAUUGCUUGACAGUAUUGAACCAUCAAGCAGUUCAAUCAACAAGGUAGAUCCUAGUAAAGAGAAAAACCGGAGUGCUGAUAGUCGUGAUGUGUCAAAACUUAUGAAUAUAGAAGUGGACAGUGAAAAUAUGUACGGAUUGGGGGUUGUUGCUGAGUCAGAAGUUGAGGGACUUGGAGAGGUGGCAGCAGAUACCGAAGCAGGUGUGGUGGAAAAUGCAAGUCCUGAAUUCCUGGGUGCUAAAGACUGGAACUCAGAUAUUCCUGGUGAUAUUGACAAUGACCAAACAUUGCACAAAAAUAAGAAGGGUAAGGAUUCCCGAUCAAUGAAGCUUUUUAAGGUUGCUAUUGCAGAUUUUGUUAAGGAAGUUCUUAAGCCAUCGUGGAGGCAGGGAAACAUGAGCAAAGAGGCUUUCAAAACUAUUGUCAGGAAAACAGUUGAUAAGGUUUCUAAUUCAGUCCCUAGCAGUCAUAUUCCAAAAACACCUGCCAAGAUUAAACAUUAUGUGCAAUCCUCUCAAAGGAAGGUGACAAAAUUAGUAAUGGUAUGUGUAUUAUCACCUGUCUAGAAUAUUUGUUAUUGUGCAUAUAUUCUGUUCAUAUGCUUGUAGCAUUCUGUGACAAUAUAUGUUAUGCAAUAGUCUUGUUCAUGGCAUAUGAUUUGUUUAGCAAGUAGCAACUGAACAUUGUAGAGAAGUGAAAAUUAUGCCAUGCCCUUGAUACUGAGAAACACAAGUUGCACUUUAGUUGGUUGCUUUUGAGCCCUAAAUUCUGAUGUCCUGAAGCAUGUUAUGUUGUCAUCCAGCCAUUUGGUAAUUAUUUAUUUGAGUUUGCCAACGUAUCUUUAUAUUUUUUUUACGUGAAAGCUCCAUUCUGAUAAUAUCACUGAAUUGAGCACAUCUUGUCUGGUCAUCAUCUGGCCAUUAUUUAUUUUACUUCAGAUUUCCUAUGCAGGGGUAUGGGCACCUAUUAGUGAAUUUGUCAUGUUGCAAUAUUUGAAAAUUAUGCCAAAAAGAUCAUGCAUGUAGUAACAUAAAGUUAAGUAUAUCUGCAAGAAGUCAAAUUCUUUCUAGACGCCAAGAAACAAAAUAGGCAAGCAGUCAAUCUGGCACCAUUCAUCAUGUGCUGGCACUGAGAGUAGUAGUUUUAAAUCUCAAUAUAAAAGAUGAAUUUAAUAUUGAAUUUUUGCAGGUUUAUUAGCUUUGUUACCUUUACCUAAAUGAUUUUUGUGAUUAUCUCUUGAAACAUUGCAACGUGUUGGGUUAACUAUAUUUGGCUAAGAAGGGAACACCCGAACCCCAGGACAUCAAUGAAUUAAUGUAUUUGUUUACUAACAUCUUGAUUAAGUUUCUGAAUAGCAAUUGGCCCCACAUAAGGGGAAGACAUACAUGAGCUAUCUUAUUGUGCUUGCGAGUUUUUAGCUCUCAUACAUUUUCAGAAUGAGAAAGCUUUGUAUCACUAUCUUCAUAAAAAAAAUGUGAUUCAUCCCCCAUAUAUCAAAUAUUUUGUAAUCAAUGGUACUAUAUUCUCCGUUAGUUCUUUGUUGUGCCAUUUUCUUGCUCAGGACAUUUGUGAUGGCUCCACUGACUCCCAUUACUACAUUUCUUCAGGGGUAUGUCGACAAGUAUGCGAAGCUAUAGUUAGAUGAGUAAAUGGGAUUAUGCGCUGAACCAAUCAGAACUGUUAAGGUUCCAGAAUUUGUGAUGCAUACUAAAUGAGGCUGCAUGAAACAGUCAUUCAACAGUAAGGUACUUUGCUCUAGUUCUGCAGGAAAUGCUGUAUUUUUUUGGAAUAUCACGCAUCUAGGUUUUCUUCCAGUUUUGAUUAUUUGCAGCCUGAUCUCUUGUACCUUGUAAGGCAUGUCCUUAGCUGUUCUGUUCAUAUGGUAUUUCCAUUUCUUCCCCCAACAUGGGAUAAUAGGAUGAGACCUAUGCAGUGUGCGCUAUUUCCGCAAACAAGCUGCUGAAAGAACUUUGUUUCUGGAUGGUAAAUGUACAUGCUGAGAGCUGGAUGACUUGACAAACUACUGACUUGUCGCAUUCUUCAACGUGGCUUAUGCUUUUAUAGGAUAUUGUUUGGUGGCGAUAUUUUUCGGACGGGAUAACAUCCAUCCUGCUAUUGCUAUGGACUAUCAAAGAUCAUAGAACGAUCCCAAUCUUAGCUAGAAGCUUGUCCGGAGCUAGUGGAUGCAACAGGAAAAGGACACGAAUGCACGACACCUUGAAGCUUUGGCAAGCUUGAGAGAAUAUGGUGUGUCCCGGUCCAAAUUUACUGAAAUUGUUUGCUUUAUACUGUCGAACUGUCAAAACAGCGACAAAUCUAGCCAAUAUGGUGUCUGUAUAAUUCGACUGUUGGAUUUACAUGAAACUGUCUAGAUCCAUUCCAUUUCCACCUUUUUUUUUUUACUUCGUCCCAAACCCUCGCCUUUCGUCUCUCUUACCGUUGCCUUCCUCUCGGUCGCUCCCAUGUUCUCCUGACUCUAGACUUUGUCAAGCCGGCCUUCCCCCGCUCACCAGGUGCCAGAGGUUAUGCACCGAAGGAUACUCAAAAUGCGCCUGACAAGCAAGUACGGAAACUGCGUGGUGGUGUUUGGGUUGGGAUUGGCCUAAUGCUAAGUUUUGUACAGGAUUAGAAUAACUAGGCUAGCUAGCCUUUCCCCAAUUCACAAAUCAUUUUGGGUUUAAUACGGGUGUUUUUUCUUUUGCCAGGGAAACUUGGACUGGCUAUAGUUACAUAUAGAUUAGGUGGAUUAGCUGGACCAGCUAAUCUCGUCUUCCAACUGGCUCGUUCACAGUUAAAAAUUAUUAUUUCUGGUUUUAAAAAAGGGUGGUACUGACGAACCAGUUAAGAAAGCCCAUGGACGUUUGACGGGCGGCCCAAACCCAAACAGAGCAAACUGAUUAAAAACAGAAUUGUGCCCGUGCGUUGCUACGGUCAUAACAUAUUUCCUUUAUGAGUGUCAAUUUUCAUGUAUGAAACAUUUGUGAUGGCAUCAAAAUAUAUGCAUACACUAUAUUUUUAAAAAUAUUCAUGUUCCAAAGUAUGCAUAGGACUGGGUAUGACCCAUAAUAUAAUAGGAGUAUAAAUUGUUGCAACUUUAUAAGUUUUCUCUCGCUCCACUUUAGCCCAUACGUGUCUAUUUCUACUACCAUCUAGUCGUUGACGUUGGGGAGGUAGAGUCUCACUCUAAGAUGACAUGCUGCCAGUGGCAACCUCCUCGACACCACGCAUUGCUGGUUGCUGCCAUAACAUCUCCAUGGUUGCCCCCUCCUAGCAUAGGCCAUUAAGUCGUUUCAUAUUAGAUCAACAAAUUCAUUUCAGAAGACAUUAGUAAUCUUAUCAGUAAGCACUCAAUAUUUUGCAAGCACCAUGAUGAGCAACAAGUGUUUUAGCGCACGUGUAUGAUCUGUUAUGGUAUGAAUUUAAUCUCCCUUUUCAAAAGAUAGUCUCAUUUCUGAGUCACAGAGAAAUCGUUGGCCCUUUGAGUUACUGGUACCAUGAAAUGAAUUCAGAGCUAUGCCUUAAAAAUCAAGUUUCUGUUACCCAACACACCAGCUUUGGAAGUUUCAUCAACCUGUAAAAGUAAAUAAGAAUUCUGCCCAUUAGAAAUACAAAAUGUGUGGGUAUUGGCACUAUAAAAUCAGAGCAUAAGCUCUUUUUGGGCCAAGCUUGACCUGAUGCAUUAGAUAGGAGCAUGGCAGGAGAAAGGUGAAGAGCUAACCCCAACGAUCAGCACACUACAAAUUCUCAAGCUGCUGAAAAAUGCAAAAUACUUGAAAAUCUGAGCUGUAUCCCUGGAACUUUGCAGAACCAGAACACCUAUAUAGUUCUAAGCAUCAUUCUCCCAUCAACUUAUCACCUUCUAUCUCUGGUCGUAGGUCCUGUAUGCGCAAAGGGAGCAUUGCAUCAGUAAAUGGAGUUGCAAGUGGAACUGGAUUGCAUACGUGCAAGCAAAAAAUAACAAUAAGGACAUUCAUCAUACCUGCUGUGCAUCAUGAGCAACUCAAGCUCAACAUGUCAAGAUUAUGCAGUGUUUUUAUGAAAAUUUGUGAGAAUGCAUCAUACACCUUUCCUCAGAGUAGUACUUUUCUUCUGAUGGGCUGAUGGUGGCUUUCUGUACCCAUUCCAUGCUUCGGACUGCAUUUUGCAAUAAUGAGAAUUCAAAGUUUAGAUAGAACAAGGAAGCUUCAGAAUAUGCAACUUGAGUUGUCAAUUCAUUUAUGCGGGCAAUCUUACAAGAAACAAAUGCGGUAGCUGUGUAGCUACACCUAGUAGCCAAUCAUUUGAGCUUCUGUUUAUCAAAAAGAAUUGCUAGCUUGGCAGCUUUAAAUGAAAAGGCUAAAAGAAAGCUAUCUCUUGACCGCUAUUGCUACUGUAUGAAAAAUUGAAAGUCUUGAUUAAAGAGAAGGACAGAAAAUGUCACUGAGCAUACGACAAAGUUUCAGAUGUUGUCAUGUUAUGAAAUCACGAGGACCUAGCCAAAGAAAACAGUAUUGAAAAAAUAUAUAAAAAAAGAUUACUAAAAGAAUCUGGUAUACCGAAAAUUCCAAUAGUUCAAGGGCUGACGUAAAUAGACAGAGCAAAUCCCAUCCCUGCUGUCUCCUUGAAACCCCAUUCUAAUAAAAAGUACUAAACUAUGAUUAUUUUAUUUAGCCUUAUUAGCAACCAAACUUGUUAAAUUUACGGAUUGGCUUGGCAAUGUGCAUUGGACAGUAAGCCUUAAGAGGCAACCAAACUUAAACUGGUUAUAAUUUACAGAUUGGCUUGGCAAUGUGCAUUGGACAGUAAAAAACAAUUAAUCAUAACCAUCCUUUAAUUUGGGUAGGUGCCAUGACUGAAUACAUGACACCAUUUUUAUGCCUACAUUAUUGUUUCAGCAAGAUAUAGAAAACACAUCAUUUAGCAUUGAAGAACAGAAAUAUAAAGCAUCCAUAUAUCACAGCUUUCAUGACAGGACACUUUUUUUUAACUCAUCUGUGCCAAACAAACUUUACCAAAACUUACUGUGAACAAUUUAUUGUAAAGAAAAGAAUGCAAUCAACUUUCGUAUAGAGAUAGUAUCUCUAAUAUUAAAAUGAGAAGAUGUGGAGAAUUAAAAAGGUAUGAAAAAUUAUAAUAAACAGAAUACCUUCAAUUCCUCAGAGUCUACAGUCCGGAAGCCUCAAACUAUGCGAAUCCAGCUUGUCCUAGAAGUUCACCUCGGUGAGCUUUUUGAUCUCCAGGACCACAUCAUUACGGGCGCUCAUCUUACCUAUUCAUCAUUGUUACAGUACAAUCACAACCAAAUCACCUCCACGUAAUAUGGUAGAAAUUUAGCUCCGAGACAGGCCAAUUAGCAUUUGCAAGUGCUUGCAUGUAUAGGGAAGAUCUGACAAAUUCAAGAUCUGGGCAUUUUCCAACUUAAUAAUUGAAGUUAGUCUAAUAAAGACAUCUAUUUGUGUACUCAAUUGUUCAGAGCAACUCACAACCUGAACUGAGUUAUAGGUAGUCAGCAGUCAGCCUGAGAUGCUAUCGCACACAUUACAGCAGCAGUGUCACUGCCCGCGUCGCUUUGCUACUCAAUACGUAUGUCUGCAAUGUAAUAUUCAACAUGAGCUCAGAAAAGACGAGAGUUGCAGAAGUAGGCAGCAAAGCAAAGCAACCAUUUUGUAGAAAAGUGACACAGGAAGAAGCUUCUUUCCAGUAGUCAAGCUGAAAACUUUUCUUUUACACAUUCCCAUGACCAUAAUAUUCAGAUGUGAUGUUGUUAUAGUUAGGCUUAGACAAAUGACACCCACAUCGAAAAGAUUGUCUGCUAAAGAGCUGAUUACAAACCCAGGAGGGUAAUUAGGGGGUUAGUACAUAAUGACAAACAUGUUAUUGUAAAAUUGUGUUUCGAAUUAUUAUCUUGCUGCAGCCAAUUCUGAAUCAGGAAUAGGAUUAUUUUGUUCUUUCGGCAAGCACACCGCAGUCCAUCAAUAAGUAAUGUUUGUUUCUGAACAUGAGCUAUCAGUGGUUGAUAGAAUAGUAAAGUUUCUGGAUCAAGCUGUAGGCAAAAUUAUUAAUUAGAGUACCUAAAAUUAAUGUCAAUGAGAUCAGUAAGAUAACGAACCGACUGAGUUUUGGUUGCUGCACAGUCACGUUGUGUUAGAGCACAGAACCACAACUCCUGAUCAAGGAGGAAUUCCAGCUCAUCUCUUGCAUCUCUCUGAUAUCAACGUAUUUCCCAGCCCUGUUUAUGACCUCCUUUUGUCUCAUCCUUGGAAAUCCUCAAUGGCAAUGGAAGAUCAAAGCCAGUGUGAUGUCAAUAGAAAUCCUCAAUGGCAAUGGAAGAUCAAUCCUCAAUGGAUAAUUUUUUUUGGCCCAAUUAAAUUUUCAGUACAACAUGGGCACAAGCAUUACUUCAAACAACCAGUAACAAUCAUGCAUUGGGAUUCUUGUUGGACAUCGCGCAUGUUUCGUAGCGGGGACGGUAUAUUCCAUCCCACCAUCGGUUAGGGCGUCUCCGUAAACAACACACGUUCGGCUCCUGUCGUCCGCUCCCAUCCGUCCAAACGCUGGGGAGUGGCCCAGAUCCACCUACCACGACACACGCCGACCCCACAGCCACAGGUGGGGAGCGUGACGCUGACGCCGCCGCCUCCCAUUUCCUUUUGGCCUUUCCCCUCCGUCUCAGGCUCUCAGCUCUCCUCUUGCCGCCACCUCCUCCCAAGUCCCAAGCCAUCGCCCUCACGCUUGCUGCCGUCCCGCCGCCGCCGUCACCCGGCCACUGAAGCGGCCCGUGACCUCCUCCCGCUUGGUUCCUCCGGAAUCCGGGCGCGAGCUCCCCCUCGUCCGUCCUCUGGCUGUUCCUCCUCCCUUCCUCAUCCUCCUCUACCGGGGAUUUGGGUUUAUCGGUAAGCCCCUCAUUCUCUGAACACGUUGGCUUUCCGCCUUUCCUCUAAUUCUCGACGGCCGAUUCCAGGCAUUCCCCGUUCAUGGGUCGGUCGCCACUCGCCAAUUCGUUUGUGGCCAGUAAGGCUCCGUGGAUAGCUCGCGUUUAUGCGCCUGAUUUUGUUGUUUGCGGCAUGUCCGCGUAUGCCCCUUGUUUCUGUAGCUCCAUCGAUCAUUUCUAGACGGAAAUCUAUUUUUACUUAACGGGUAGUGUACAUCUAGUGCUUACUUGAUUCAUGGAGAUUCAUGGCUUUGCCCCUGUCUUGUGCUUUCCAGCUGAGUUGCGUGACGGCAAUGUGCUAGAAGAGCAAAUUUGGGCGGCUAGCAACCACUGAUUCUUUACUCUUCCUGACAUACAAUUAAGCACGCCAUGUCAACGAGGACAAGGAGGCACUUCGUGAUAUUCACCACCGCGAGCCUCCCAUGGAUGACGGGAACCGCCAUCAACCCUUUGUUUCGAGCUGCUUACCUGGCAAAAGACGGUGAUAAGGAUGUCACUUUGGUGAUCCCCUGGCUUUGCGUAAGGGACCAAGAGUUAGUUUAUCCUAAUAAGAUUGUGUUUGACUCGCCUUUGGAGCAUGAGAGCUAUGUUCGUCACUGGAUUGAGGAGAGGAUUGACUUUAGGCCAUCCUUCAGCAUCAAAUUCUACCCGGGGAAGGUAUAAUAAUUCUAUACCCUGUAAUUUCUAUGUGAAACUUUGAGGCUAUCCAUCCAAAUUAGUGCCUAGAAUUAUCCUGCCACUCUUCUGGAUGUGUGCCUAGAACAAUCACGUCUACCCUUCUAUGCCACAUUGCAUUUGUUUUAAGUCUAGUAAAACCUGAGUGAAGUUGUUUCAAACUGACUGCUUCAUCCAAUGUUACUAUGUGAGCCUUGAGGAUACCUAGUAGUACUUAGUUCGUAUUUUUACAAGACUAGUCCCUUUCCUGUAGCUAUUAUAAGCGUGCAGUGAAUCUUCUCAGUGUCUGGUGCAUAUGUAGACCUUGCUGCCGUUUGCUUCCAUUCAGCAGUAUUCUUAUUUUACAUCAUGUUUUUAUAGAGUCUCAUUUAUGGGUAUUAAAGAUAACUUGACCUACCUUUUUAUGAUGCAGUUUUCUACAGAAAUGAGGAGCAUUCUCCCUGUUGGAGAUAUUACAGAAUGCAUUCCAGACGAAGUGGCUGACAUUGCAGUAUUGGAAGAGCCUGAGCAUCUAAAUUGGUACCACCAUGGGCGAAGGUGGAAAAAUAAAUUCCGGCGAGUGAUAGGAAUCGUUCACACAAAUUAUCUGGCAUAUGUAAGGAGAGAAAAGAAUGGGCAAGUGAUUGCUUGUUUCCUCAAGUAUGCCAACACCUGGGUAACUCGAAUUUAUUGCCACAAGGUAAUAGCUUGAGUUUGCAGCUAGACAUAUGAGCAUAUCUACAGUAAAACAUUUGUUCUAAUAGCAUUACUUUCACUCAUAUAAAACCUUUUUACUUCUGUCCAUGAUGUCGCGUCUUUUUUCAUAUACGUUAACAAUCUACAGCAUGAUGUUUUGUGAUAAAUAUACAGAUGUCACUAAGCGUGUGUCCUUGCUAUUCAUUGCAUGCCAAAAGUAUAUGCUUCAGAUACAAUAUCAAAUUUUUUAGCUACAACCCUGUUUGUCUCCUGGUUUGAUGCAGUGAACUUAGUAGGUACUUUUUCCUGAAAAUGUAUUAUGAUUUAUGUGCUAUGUUGAACUUAGUAGUCAGAAGUGUACAAAAAAGAGCUGCUUGGAUUUUUAGUGAAAUCCUUGAAACAUAAAUGAAAGUUGAAUUGAGAAGCACAAGCAAAGCCAUCUAAUGAUUCUAAUGAACAAUUUCUGUACUACCGAGAGAAUCCAGAACUACGAACUUCGUCCAUGAUUUUGUAAAGUCUCGUAUGCUGAUCUACCACUAGCACUUGACCAUUGUGCAUUGGUCCUGUUUGGUAGGACCAUAUGCAAUUAGUAUUUGAUUUGGUGAAGGAUGAUUUGGUUUUGUUUUAACUAGCAAGUCUAGGCAAGAGUAUGGGUACGAAUGCUAUGUUCUAGAAAUAGGCAUACUUUCUUGUUAACUAAUGAACCUUACAUAUUGUGAGAAAACAAUGUACAUAUUUAUGCAUGUGGACCUAUUGCAUUCCAAAAGUGUUUUAUGGUGGUAACUGGUAUCCAGUUACAGUUGCAUCUUGCUUAUUGAAACUUGUAGUCUCUGGUAUUUCUGUGCAUGAUACCUUGAUGUAUCAAAGUGAUUUAAAAUUUGGGAAAUGGAGAAAUUUGUCACUUACGUACCUUGAAUUUGCCUCGUAUAAAUGCAUGUGCUGGUUUUCUUUCUACUGCCUCUCUAUAAACCAUUGGAUUUAGAAAACUGAAUGCCUAGUUGAGUCGUCCUGCCCUGUUUAAUUGAGGCAUAUACUGACUUUUCUCCUGAACUUAAUGCAGAUUAUCAGGUUGUCAGGUGCCACUCAAGAUCUGCCCAGAUCUGUUAUAUGCAACGUCCAUGGUGUUAAUCCAAAAUUUCUUGAGGUAGGCAAACUAAAGUUGAGGCAGCUGCAGAGUGGGGAGAAAGCCUUCACAAAAGGGGCAUACUACAUCGGGAAGAUGGUAUGGAGUAAGGGAUACAGGGAGCUUCUUGACUUGCUGUCCAAAUAUCAGACCAAGUUAGCUGGUCUUGAAGUGGAUUUAUAUGGUAGUGGAGAAGAUUCUGAUGAAGUCCGUGAAUCUGCCAAUCGUUUAAGUUUGACUGUCAAUGUUCAUCCUGGUCGUGAUCAUGCAGAUCCCUUGUUCCACGAGUGAGUUUCUUAUUGCUUAAUUCAUUCCACCUUAUUUUCAUUGACAGUCAAUCAGUCAUAUAAGUUUAACAUGCCAAAGACAUCUCACUCUCACCAUUGAAAAGUUGGGUUUGAAUGCAAUAUUGGUUUGUAUUAUCUCCCAUUGUCAAGACGGUAAUAGCAAUUUCUUCAUCAGCCUUUUGUUAUCGGAUAGCAUGCAACUGAAUGAACUGAAACACAAAUUACACAAAGUUAUCAAAGGAGGCUGGGCAAGGAGUAAUUAUGUUAGAUUACCCAGAGUUUCAUUAUAAGAUUUGGCAUCACUGUUGUGCUUUGGAUAUACCAACUGUUUCUGUUAAAAGUCUGAUACACUUUGAUUCACCAACAGGUAUAAAGUAUUCAUCAACCCCAGCACCACAGAUGUGGUCUGUACGACCACUGCUGAAGCCUUGGCAAUGGGAAAGAUUGUCAUAUGUGCCAAUCACCCAUCAAAUGAGUUCUUCAAGCAGUUCCCCAACUGCCGUAUCUAUAACAACGAAGAAGAGUUUGUACAGCUAACGCUGAAUGCCCUAUCAGAGCAGCCUGCUCAAUUGACAGACACGCAGAGGUACGAGUUGUCAUGGGAGGCGGCAACUGAGAGGUUCAUCGAGGCCGCUGAUAUAAACCCACGUGCGCCGGAGUCCAGGACCCAUCCAACCUCGAGGGCUUCGUUGCCGGCGUUCCUGAGAACUCGUAGACUGAAACAGAACUUGGAGGACGCGUCAGUUUACCUGCACCAAGCUCUCUCAGGUCUGGAAGUCACCCGGUGUGCAUUUGGCGCUGUUCCAAAGACGCUGCAGCCUGACGAGCAGCUAUGCAAAGAUCUUGGUUUGGCACCUCCGGUGAAGAGGAAAAGGCUGAAAUUUAAGCUGACGACGUAACGUUUGUAACUUACAUCUACCUCGUGUUUGCAGCGUUUUUCUUCAUGCAUGUACAGCACUAGUAGACAUUUUCUGUUAUUUUGAAAUGAGACGCUAAUGGAGGGUUCGUGCUUAUUUUCUCUGUUUACUGGGAUGCGUUGACCGGACUACAUUGUAAAUUUUCUAUAAUUCUGUGAAUUGAUUGAUGGGCCGUAAUGAACUGUGAAGUCUGACGUACGCACUCGCGCUACCAUCGCGUGUGGUCACAGAGCGUGCUGAUCACUCAAUUUUCAACUCCGUAUUUAGGUAAUCUUGUGGUUGCUGAUCACUCGAUUAUUCUGGUCCUGUCAACAUCAGAAUCGAGUGAUCAGCAAGAGUCAGGCAAGCCUUUUCAUGUGCCGUCAUGGAUCAAAAACGUAAGAGUGCCACUGCCGAUAGAGCAAGGCUUACCCCAAAUGAUCAAGCUAACCACCCCAUGAGCCCAUGGUAGAUCCACAACCACAAGCAAAGCCACGCAUUAAAAGCUUAAACUAUGACCAGACCCCCAUUAAUUAGCGAGGCCACUUGCCUUCCUUCCCCCAAAAGCAACCGAUUCCAGCCUGCAGGCCACCUGGCUACAAUCCGACGAUAACGUGGAGACAGCUACCAUCCGUCGAUAACGUGGAGACAGCUAGUCGCUUUCCUUCGGUCCUUCCUUCUCUCUCCGGCACACGAUCCUCGCCGUCCGUCCUAUCACGCCGCUCCUGCGCGGACGGGCCAGUGCGCCCCGCCCACGGCUUUUGCAAAACAGCGACCGCGCCGGCCCACGGCUAGGGUGGUAACGGAUCCCAUGUCCUCCUCCUUCACAGUACAGUUCUAUCUAAUUUCAAUUCAAAAUUAUAUAAUAUUAUAAUCCGACCCACGAUCCUAAAAUUGGCUUGCCGGAGUCGCGUAUCUCCCACACCGGAUCCUGCUGUAGCGCUGUCUGGCCCCGCGCGCGCCCGCGGCCCGUCGCUGCGGCGCGAUACGUGUCCCGUGCACGAAAGCCGAGUACGUCACCGCGGGCGGGGCGGGGCGGGGCGACGCGACGCGACCGCUUUGUCCGGCCGCCUCCACCGCGCGCCUCGUACGGUACGGCCAAGCGCUGACGCGGCAGCGGCCGCGGGCGGGCGACACGUGGUCGCGGCCGGCGGUCCAUGUGGGCAAGUUGGGCCACUUGACACGGUGGGGACGAGACGACCCCGCCCCGCCUUCCGCACUGGCGCGCGGACGUGUCGCGGUCGGCGGGGCGCCCACACGUGGCGCGCGAUGCGUCCUCUCUCGGGUGAGAGAGAAGAGGAGCGGUGGCACUGCGCGCGGCCGCGGACUUUGCCUUCGUGCGGGCUACUGGUGCCGUGCGGGGCAGCUACUGGUGCCGUGGGGCACACCCCCCGUGGGGACGGUUUGUCAGUGAGCGAGGCUGGAUCGGAGAUAAGUAUGGUGACGAGGGCGGGUAGUACAGGUACCUGAAAAGUGACCGGGCAAGUUGGGUGGUGUUGUCCCCACGUGGCAGAACGUGGCUCCACUCCACCUCCCCUUUUGCUCCUAAUCGCCGCCGAUCUUCCCGCGCCACGCCGAGCCGGGCUUGCGAGCUCCGCGACGCCGGAGCCACCUACGAAAUGAUGUUUUCUACUCGUGAGAUCUAUUUUAACAGCCUAAUAAUUUUAACACAAUAAAAAUUUUGUAAAUAACGGACGGAAGAGGAAGAAAAGACAAACGGACUGGCUAGCUUUGAGUUUAUUUUUGCCAGUGCCGGAGAGUCCAAUUACUUAUUUUCAAUAUUCGUGUGAAAUUCUUGCGUUUUAGGGAGCCAGUUAACCAAACUACUCCAGUAUUAAUAAUCGAAUUGUGGCCACAUGCUAAAAAUAUAUACAAUAAAUAACAUAUAUAAACAGAAAUUACCACCAUAACAUUAUGUUAAAACAUACUUAGUUACCAUACCCUUUUUUUGAUGUCACGACUUUGAAUAGUAUUUUGACAAUUACCAUAACAAGUUAAUAGUUGGCCUCAAUUUUGCCAAAUGUCACUACGAACUUCACUAUCUUCUUCGGUAAAAAAAACUUCACUAUCUUCUUCUACAUGUACCAUCUCAUCAUCUGAAGUGACUCCACCUUGACCUCGCUCCUCCACAAUCAUUUUUCACUUGAGAACUGCAAGAUUUCUCUACCAUCUAGCUACACGAUGACUUCUUUGUCGUGGCUAGAGGACAAUAAAAACCUUCUUUCACUCCCUAAAACCUUAAACCUAAAUGACACUUUUUUAUCGUGCCAUCCAACAACCAGGUUGCCAACAUUUUAAAAAAGAACAUUGAAUAAAAGCACUGCUAAUUCAUGCAUAUGUUACCCUGCAUUCUUUUAUCUCGGUUGCCAGAAGCUGAUCUUAUCAUUGGGGCAUACAAAAUUGAAUAUAAGGUUAUAAUAAAAUUUGUAAUUUAAUUCACAUUCCCUCGAUACAUAAUAAAUGACAAGCUAAGAAAUUCCAAAUACCAAAAAAUAGUAUCACGGACUCACGGUUUGAUGGGACCACAUAAAUCAGAAAUAGGUAAAAUAGGUGAGAUUAACACCAAAAAGAGGUAGCUAGCUAACGAAAAUGUGAAAGUGAUUUUAAUUGCCAUGGAUUAACGUCUAACUACUUUGGAGCAUUUUGUGUGUCCAUGGGGGCAAUUGAGCCACUCGCUAGUGUGGUACGGGAAGGUGAACAGUUAGCCUCUCAUACCUAAUGUUAUGUAUCAUGGAUCGCGGGACAUGCGAUACAUGAUAUGACAGUUAUGAUGUGGUGCUCCAGCAGGCAAACGACCGCGACACCCAUUGCGCGAUAUGGUGCUCCAAUAGGCAAACGGCCGCGACACCUAUCGCACGAUGUGGCACUUCAGCAAGCGAAUGGUGCAACACCCAGCUCGCGAUGCAGCACUCCAACAGGUAAAGAGCUGUGACACCCGACACACGAUAUAGCGCACAAGCACUCAAAUAGCCACGACACUCAAUGUCCGAUGCAGUGCUCUAACAAGCAAAUAAAGGGGCGCGACACCCCACGUGCGAUGCGGUGCACUGACAUGAAAAAAGCCAUGACAUCCAGCCCAUGAUACGGCGUACUAGAAGGGUAAGCGGCCACGUCACCUAGCGCGUGAUGUGGCGCACUAUCAGACAAACGGCCACGUCACCUGCAGUGUGAUCCAACGCACUAGAGGGUAAACGGCUUCGACACCUAGCGUGUGACGCGCCCACUAACAGGCAAAUGGCCACAACAUCUAACUUGUGACGCGGCCCACUAGCAGGCAAACGGCCGCGACACCUAGCGUGUGACGCGGCACACUAGCAUGCUAACUAACCGGCACCCGUCAUUCUCUACGGCGCGAAAAUAUCCACGCAGGAGAUAAGCGAUAGCACGCGAGUUGCUCACGGACUUUGGAUGCUAGCCCAAAGCCAGACCUUUCCACCGCUAUAAAUUGCUCUUCUGCUAGCCUUGUUCUUGCAUCGAUCUUCUUCCUUCUGGGGCCCUAACUUACUCUAAAGCUCCCUUGUCUAGGAUAGCUUCAACCAUAAGAUCUGCCACCUCUACAUGCUUUGUUAGUUUGGCAGGGUAAGUAGCCCCCACCUUAAUCAUCUCCACUGUCGUCUGGUGCCUGUUAUCUAACUAGCCGCGACCUACCGUGGUGUUCACUAGUCUUCCUGUCUUGGCUAGAUCUCUGCAUCCAAAGGUUCCCAGAAUCAUGAAUCUCAAACCCUUAGCCCUAGUUCCUAGUCUCUAAUUUUAACCCGCUUUUUGAAAUGUGAUCCGUCGCAGAUUGAGUAUGUGAUUAAAGAUUUUGCUGGAGAUGGCGAAGAUUGUUAAGUAGAGAGAGAAAGGUAGAGAUAGUGAAUAAUAGAGGUGGAAUAUGGUUUUUCAAAAAGAGAAAAAAAAGAACUUGCCCCGAGGUGACAGUAGGAGGGUCAUCGGUUCGUGAUUCUGGGUACUUUUGGAUUUGGAUGUCGUUCAGCCAGUCUGCAUCCACCGGUCACUGCGCGCAUCCGCGACUCGACUCGGCACACACAACCCACGGGCCCAGCUCCAGCCGUGGCUGCCGAUCCCACCGCGGCACGCUCGGCUCUCGCCGCGGCUGCGCGGUGGCGCGCGAGCUCGCACCACGCGUCGGCCGCCGCAUCGACACGCGUCGCGCCGGAGGCAGCAGGCCUGCGCGUCUCCGCCAUCCCCAGCGGAAGCGCAUGCCUCAAAAGCGAAACCAACCAGCCCAAAAAGGAGCAGAAAGCUUUGCCUCCCCCUCAUCUUCUCCCCCCUUCCCCGCGAGGCGCGCUCGAGGCCCCGGCGAGGAGAAGCAGCAGCGCGUCACCUCGCCAAUGGCGGCCCCCUCCCUCCUCCUCCGCGUAAGUGGCCCUCUCUUCCCCGUCCCGUCUGCUCCGGCGCGGCGACUCUGCUUGCGCCGCCGGGAAUUGUUGCUCCUGCCGUCCUGCGGCGUUGCUCAGCUCUUGCCUUAUCUUGUCCCUGACCCCGUCUCCUGCAGGUACUUCUUGGAUGCGGGCGCUUCCUGUGACAAGCUUGCGCGCGGGAUGGAGGGCUAUUCGAGGGACUUGCUGGGCGGGAUCGGCAGGGGAGACGCGCCGGCGCCGCCACAGGAGCAGGGUCCGGGGCCGGCGCGGUCGGAGGAGGUCGAGCUGAGCCUCGGGCUGUCCCUCGGCGGGCGGUUCGGGGUCGAUAGGAAGGGGGAGAAGCUCGCCCGGUCGUCGUCCAUGGCGGCCGUCAUGACGGCGCCCGUGGAGGCGCCCGCGCUCGGGAGGACGAGCUCGCUGCCGGUCGAGACGGAGGCGUCGGAGGUGGGGAGGAAGCAGGGGCUGGAUGGAUGGGGUUCGAGCCGUGAGACCGGUGGUCCCGCCGAGGAGCCGGCGGCGAGACUGCGGCCGAGCUUGAGCCCUUCAUCUGGCUCGUCGGACGGCGAAGGGCAAAGGUUGCAAGGUGCGUGUGGCUUCUCUGUUUUCUCCCGUGGGAGGUUUAUACUUAGUAUUUCGCUACCCAUAGGUGGUAAUUUAGCUUUCAGAUUCCAUGCUUAGCAGUGCUGAUUGAGAUUGAUUUGGUUGAUGACUUGAUGUUUGUAAAAUUGCGUUAAUUAGGCAUUAUAUUUUAUUGCAGAGGAGAAAAACAUGAUAGGCAGAUACCAAUCUUUCAAGAAAUCAGUUUGUGAUUUGCAGUGUUGAGUGACGUAUGAUGUAUGAAGUAGAAACGUAGAACACUUGUGCGUGGAGGCCUAGAGUAAGUAUUGAGAUUUGGCUAGCUAAUGAGAUCUGGGGCUGCAUCCUGCAUUGUUAGCAUUGGGCAAUUGUAGUACAGCUUGUUUCGCGCUUCUUGUACUGAACAACUUUACCAUACCAAAUUAUGGGAGUUAAACUAUUUACAACCGUUGCAUGUCACAUUCAAGUACAAUGAACAGGGUGCUUUAUCAAGCAUGAUGUAGUUUGAUGGAUGGAUGGUAAGCAAGUUUAUUUUCAGGAUAUUAACUAUGCUCUUGUAGCUUUUUAGGUCGCAUGACAUGAACAAAGUAUUUUUCUCUUACCUGAAUAGUUUGAUGAGAAAUCAACUCACAUAACCAUGUGUGCCUUUUCUUCUACAUAUCCUGUACUAUUUUUAGGUGGCAUUUGGUUCGUGGGAAAUGGAUAGGGAAAGGGUAAUGAGGGGUGGAUAGGUUUUAUCCCAUGUUUGGAUAGUGGAAAAGGGAAAUGUAGAUGGAUUGGAUAGGGAGAUGAGGUUGCCUUUUCCAGCGAUCUGAACCCGAUGGGAAUGGUGGGUUACCAACAGGAAAUCAGGCUGUGGCGUGGUGGACACGGAGCAACAUUGGUUGUGGGGUGAGACGAUGACGCUGCCAUGGUAUCCAUGGUUUGGGUUUGAAGUGGGUCCUACUUGCUAAAUAAAUAGAACAGACUCCACGUUGCUUCAAACCCAAACCCAAACCUGAUUUGCCAAACAACGGAUUGAUUUUCAAAUGUUAUUUCCCGAUCCAUAACCCACCUCUCCAUAUCCCAUCCUAUAUCGCUCUUUCCCUUUCCCACUCACCAUCCAACACCACCUUAAGUGAUUCUUGUAGUUGGAGAAAGUACUAACUACUGAAUAUUGCAGACACCCUCGUAAGGAGUACUUCACUCCCUGCCAGCAUUGAUGCUGCUGGCACCGAGGAGUGGAGGAAGCGAAAGGCAGCUCAGAGUCUGAAGAGGCUCGAGUUGAAAAGGAAGAGGGUUGAGAGGAGGAACUCUCUCACUUGCAACACCUUAAAAGAAGCGGGUGGGCAAAUCGUGGAAGAGGUGAUGAGGGCUCCCAAUGACAAAUUGCAUCAGGCUAUCAGCACAUCACACGAUAGUUUGUCAGCAGGGCGAAGGAAGCCAAAUUCAGCCUCCAAAGGUAUUCUUUUGUUUGUAUGUUUGUUCCACCGUUUAGGCUUUCUCAAUAUCCAUUUCCCAUGUUUCCAAGAACAUGAAUCUUACCUGCCACCACAGUAUCAGCGACAAUAUACCAUAAGCGUAACAACUGAAUGACCUGGAUUGUGAGCUGUUGUUUGUUUAUGAUCGAAACACUUACUAUUCUCUAGUGGUUCUUCCUUCCAUUUGUUUUCUGUUAUAAAAAGCUGCUGUAUCUUACUUUCAUGUCUGAUCUUCCAGGAACAGCCACUGCCGAGGCGCACAGCCCGUCAUCAGUUGGUCCACCCGCUGGUGAGGUUGCAAGUUGCGCAACGGUAGCAAGCCUACCACCGUCUUCGUUGGCUGGCAGAGCGGCAGCCCUUGGCUCCAGGGGAUAUCAACAAAGCACUUCGGGCACAUAUGCAGCAAGGGCAAGGAGCAUGGGGGAUGUGGAGAGAACCAUGAUGCAAGAGAUGCCGAGCGUCUUCACCAAGGGUCUCCCCAACGGCAACAGGUUGGAAGGCUUCCUGUACAAGUACAGGAAAGGCGAACAAGUGCGAAUAGUUUGCAUUUGCCAUGGGACCUUCCACACUCCCGCCGGGUUCGUGGAGCACGCGGGGGGCGGCAACGUCUCCAACCCGCUGCGGCAUAUUGUCGUCACCCCGCUCGAGAACCUGUGAACCUUCGCUGCCAGACCCAUGCAAAUGCAAGUGUUCUGUAGUGUCACCUUCAGCCUAGCAUCAGAGUAGAUGUCAUCGACCGAUUGUGUAGUACAGUGCUUAUUAUGCUGAUGAAAUUGAGGGCCAUUGCUCCCAGCCCUGCCGACAUCUUGGUGGUAGCAUGACCUGUUGAUAAUGACUUAAUCCUUCCUGAGAGUGGUUUAGUUCUGUAGCGUCAGCCUUCAGCCUAGCAUCAGAGUAGAUGUCAUCGACAGAUUGUGUAGUGCAGUGCUUAUUAUGCUGAUGAAAUUGGGAGCCAUUUCUCCCGGUUCUGCCGACUUCUUGGUGUAACAUGACCUGUUGAUAAUUGUCUUGAUCCUUUCUGAGCGUGAUUUAGCCCUGCAACUUCCUUUCGUGUUGGUAGCCAUGAUUUCGCAAAGCUCCCUAUCACUAGUGAUAAUGUAGACCAUCAACUUUUCUAUAACUUGAAAAAGGAGUGCGAUGGCCAUAUGCAUCUCGUGUAGAGUAUAAUAGUAUUUGUUUCUUUAUUCCAUUAGAGUGAUUCCUCGAUAAGGUGGCAGUGGCGAUUCUCGAAAACCUUGUCAGGAAAGACACUUGAAUGGAUGUCACAGUAAUGCAUAGUGCAAUUUGUAUUAUAUAUACACUGAUGACUGGUGAGAAAGAAAAGGUUGACUCUACAAGUCUACAUCUGGUUGCCGAAUGCCGAUAGAUACAGAACUGAGAAAAUGAGCGGCGAGCUUACUUCAAUUACUCCUAAUAAUCUUUGGCUAUUUGCUCAAAAUAUUGCAGAUAUGAUGUUACUCGAACUGGAAUUCUACAAGCUCAAAAUAUUGCGGAUAUGAUGGAAUUCUACAAAGGCUUCAUACUGAACUGUCUUAGCAUCUUGUUGCUUGACAUCAAGCUAAACAUACACCUACAUAUCUUACAUCAGCGCUAAAACUAGUGAGCACCUACUUAACACAGGAUAACAUUAAGUUACUACAUCUCAAAAGCCUGCCUUGUGUAGGAAAACAUCAAGAGGGCCAGCCCUCCACGAUUCACCAGAUACACUACAUCUUCUAGCAAGCAGUAAGCUUCGCGAUCUCCUCGAGCAGGUACUUAGAUUCAGCUGCGUAGUCAACCGGCGCCUCUGUCCUCACGGUGAUCCUCUGCCUCCUCUCGUUCAUGUACUCAUGCUGCGCCACGCUGACGCGGAACAGAUGGGGAACCCAUGUGGCUUCCUUGAGCUUCUGAAUGUAGCUGUCGUCGCCCUCCUGCAAGGAUGAUGAUCACACCAUCAGGCACAGGCAAACAAGGAAACAGCUGUUGCAUUCUGGAAACUGAAGGCUAAAGCUGACAAGUUUUCUCAAGCCGGAAUUUACCUCUUUCCUGAUCCGAUCAAGCUCAUCAGCGCUGCAGCCAAUGAUCCUCUCUGCAUGCUCGUUGAAGACAGAAACCCAUGCCUCACCAGUGGGAUCAGAAACCUUGAUGACCAUGAUGUAUCUGAACGAGGCAUGUAAAUAUUCAGAUUGGCACCAAAUAAAUAGUACUAGCAGCCUAGCAGGUAUGGACAUAAUCUGGCCAUGAUUUUAUUACCUCAGUGAGCACUCAGCAUCAUUCUU
This 28991-nucleotide long non-coding RNA is filed under the name Setaria viridis. Its description in RNAcentral is "long non-coding RNA (SVIR_LNC011387)". The record is from RNAcentral. Lineage: Eukaryota; Viridiplantae; Streptophyta; Magnoliopsida; Poales; Poaceae.